Molecule: ribosomal RNA, 253 nt
Filed under: uncultured bacterium
Lineage: Bacteria
Description: partial 16S ribosomal RNA
Rfam family: Bacterial small subunit ribosomal RNA
Source: RNAcentral
UACGUAGGUGGCGAGCGUUGUCCGGAUUUACUGGGCGUAAAGAGCGCGCAGGCGGUCGUACAAGUCGCGUGUGAAAGCCCCCGGCUCAACUGGGGAGGGUCAUUCGAUACUGAUCGACUCGAAGGCAGGAGAGGGUAGUGGAAUUCCCGGUGUAGUGGUGAAAUGCGUAGAUAUCGGGAGGAACACCAGUGGCGAAGGCGGCUCUCUGGGCCUUUCCUGACGCUGAGACGCGAAAGCGUGGGGAGCGAACCGG